UCUUGACAUCCAGAGAAUUUAGCAGAGAUGCUUUAGUGCCUUCGGGAACUCUGAGACAGGUGCUACAUGGCUGUCGUCAGCUCGUGUUGUGAAAUGUUGGGUUAAGUCCGCAACGAGCGCAACCCUUUAUCCUUUGUUGCCAGCACGUAAUGGUGGGAACUCAAAGGAGACUGCCGGUGAUAAACCGGAGGAAGGUGGGGAUGACGUCAAGUCAUCAUGGCCCCUACGAGUAGGGCUACACACGUGCUACAAUGGCGUAUACAAAGAGAAGCGACCUCGCGAGAGCAAGCGGACCUCAUAAAGUGCGUCGUAGUCCGGAUUGGAGUCUGCAACUCGACUCCAUGAAGUCGGAAUCGCUAGUAAUCGUAAAUCAGAAUGUUACGGUGAAUACGUUCCCGGGCCUUGUACACACCGCCCGUCACACCAUGGGAGUGGGUUGCAAAAGAAGUAGAUAGCUUAACCUUCGGGAGGGCGUUUACCACUUUGUGAUUCAUGACUGGGGUGAAGUCGUAACAAGGUAAGCGUAGUGCU
Molecule: ribosomal RNA, 531 nt
Filed under: uncultured bacterium
Lineage: Bacteria
Description: bacterial SSU rRNA
Rfam family: Bacterial small subunit ribosomal RNA
Source: RNAcentral